UCCGUAGGUGAACCUGCGGAAGGAUCAUUACUAGAGCAAAGGACAGACAGCACCCCAUAGGAGCUUGCUCCGUGGCGGGCUACCCUACUUCGGUAAGGUUUAGAGUCGUCGAACCUCUCAGAGAAGUUCGGUCCUGAACUCCACCCUUGAAUAAAUUACCUUUGUUGCUUUGGCAGGCCGCCUUGUGCCAGCGGCUUCGGCUGUUGAGUGCCUGCCAGAGGACCACAACUCUUGUUUUUAGUGAUGUCUGAGUACUAUAUAAUAGUUAAAACUUUCAACAACGGAUCUCUUGGUUCUGGCAUCGAUGAAGAACGCAGCGAAAUGCGAUAAGUAAUGUGAAUUGCAGAAUUCAGUGAAUCAUCGAAUCUUUGAACGCACAUUGCGCCCUCUGGUAUUCCGGGGGGCAUGCCUGUUCGAGCGUCAUUAUAACCACUCAAGCUCUCGCUUGGUAUUGGGGUUCGCGGUCUCGCGGCUCCUAAAAUCAGUGGCGGUGCCUGUCGGCUCUACGCGUAGUAAUACUCCUCGCGAUUGAGUCCGGUAGGUUUACUUGCCAGCAACCCCCAAUUUUUUUUACAGGUUGACCUCGGAUCAGGUAGGGAUACCCGCUGAACUUAAGCAUAUCAAUAAGCGGAGGA
RNAcentral lists this ribosomal RNA (635 nucleotides) under uncultured fungus. RNAcentral's name for it is "eukaryotic LSU rRNA". The stretch from base 270 to 423 matches the Rfam family "5.8S ribosomal RNA". Lineage: Eukaryota; Fungi. The record is from RNAcentral.